GGGCCCGUAGCUCAACUGGCAGAGCAGCAGCCUUUUAAGCUGUUGGUUUCGAGUUCGAGUCUCGACGGGCUCACCC
RNAcentral lists this transfer RNA (76 nucleotides) under Candidatus Roizmanbacteria bacterium CG_4_9_14_3_um_filter_36_11. RNAcentral's name for it is "tRNA-Lys". It matches the Rfam family "tRNA". From Rfam's summary of the family: Transfer RNA (tRNA) molecules are approximately 80 nucleotides in length. Their secondary structure includes four short double-helical elements and three loops (D, anti-codon, and T loops). Lineage: Bacteria; Candidatus Roizmaniibacteriota. RNAcentral also lists the same sequence under 1 other name. The record is from RNAcentral.